This 66-nucleotide transfer RNA is filed under the name Coenobita clypeatus. Its description in RNAcentral is "tRNA-Gly". The record is from RNAcentral. Lineage: Eukaryota; Metazoa; Arthropoda; Malacostraca; Decapoda; Coenobitidae.
GUUUUUUUAGUAUAUAAAGUAUAUGCGACUUCCAAUCACAAGGACUAGAAAUCCCUAGAAAAAACA